GUACAUGAAAAUAAGAAUUAUAAAUCUCUUAAACAUUUAUCUUCAGUAGAAAUUUCAAAGCCAUUGCAUCAUUCCUUGAGUGAGUAUUAACCUGAAAAAUCAUCACUAUAUAGCAUGAUUGCAGACAGGAUAUAAAAAAAUAAAAUGAAAAAAAAAAAAAACAGCAACAACAACAAAAACCUUUCAUAAAUGUGACAGUUUAUAUUCCUGUUCUCAUAAACAACAAGUAACACUCUAAUUUGAAUUCCCUAAUAUCGGUUCAACCCUAAAGAGAAAUAUGAUUUCACAUGAUUAGAAAGUGAACUUGCUGACGGACAAUGCAGUAUAAACAUUUUGUUAUAAAAAUAUCUAACGACAUAACCAAUCCUAAACAGCAGAAUAUAUUAACAAAGCAGUUACAGCACAGCUUCUCAACAUCACUCCUUAAAGACAACGCAUUAAAAUCAUGAGUGCUAAUAUGGUGUUAUAAACGAAAGUGGAGCCUGAUAACUGAAAAAUUAUCAAAUGUGCUACUUAUCAAACCUCUAUAAAUGUCACUGAGAUGUGCCUAAAGGCAGACUUCAAAGAAGUCUUUAAUGAGAGGUCCCCCCUCUCGCCCCCCCAUGAUUUAUGGUUAAUAUUCAUGUUGAGAUUUUGAAAAUAUGCUGUUGUUUUGGGUUUUUAGGCUUCCAUUUAGGAUUCCAUUCAAAACAUUGUUUUUCUUAUUGUAUCCAUAUAUUGCCUCAUUACAAGCCAGUAACAGAUUAUAAAAUGGCUAAGUUCAUGUUCAUUUCUCUUCUAAUAAAGUCGUUUCAGACAUGACAAAGAACGGGCACUCUAAAGAAAAUCUGUCAUCCAUACAUCUAUUUUCUGUACCGCAUAUCCUUACUGGGUCAUGGGGAACGUGGAGCCUAUCCCAGGGAGCAUGAGGCACAAGGUAGGGGACACCCUGGACAGGGUGCCAAUCCAUCGCAGGGCACAAUCACACACACAUUCACACACUGUGGACACUUUUGAACAUGCCAAUCAGCCUACAAUGCCGGAGUACCCAGAGGAAACCCCCAAAGCACGGGGCGAACAUGCAAACUCCGCAAACACAUCGAACCCUCAACCCUGGAAGUGUUAGGUGUGUGCGCUAACAACUAAGUCACCGUGCUCCUGAAAUCUGUCAUCUUGAGUAAAAUUGAUACUUGGUGCAAAGCAGAAAAAUAGAUUUUAGAAGAGGCUUUGUAGUAAAAAAAAAUUAAAUAAUAAUAACAAUACUACUACUACUACUACUAUUACUUUGAAAUGUUUUUCUUAUCUAAAAUGGAAUCAGUGCAAGAACUCUUUCAGUGAGCGACUUAACAGGAUUGUUACACUGUACUGUAGGCUACAUUGAUGAACUUUUAGACGAGUGCUGCUCAACACACACACACACACACACACACACAUACACACACACACACACACACACACACUUAACUGUCAAUCUCAAACACCUAGAGGCCUAUGCAAUUAGAGCACCACUUUAUUUGAAAGAAAGACCUGAAGCGAGAAAAUCGAGUAAAAGCAAGGAUGAAUGCUCGACACCUGUGUAGGUGUGUUUCACACCUACUUUUCACCCACACACAGGUGAUUUGGCUUAGUCACUUAUGUAAAAAAAAUAUCCUGUAAGAGAUUCCCUGCCACAACAGUGACCUAAGUUGAAAUAGUGCCCAAUUAGCCGCUCCAGAUCCUGGGAUUUCAGAGGGUUUCUUUGUGCUGAAGAGCAGCAGCCACUUGAACUUGAGGUGAUUAGCACUCCAGUGAAGUUAGAGCAAGAGAAGUUCUUGUAUGAAAUGAAAGUGUCACAGGUCUAUCCAUAGUUUCUCAGUCACCAUCUGGUUACAUUUUUGCUAAAGCCAGUCCAGCUCUACACAUGAAACAUUGUUUCUGCCCCCCCCCCCCCCCCCCCCCCCAUACUGUACCCUUGAAUGAUUUAGAGAUUCUGCAUGAGGUCAGUUGGAAAAUAUGCAGAAAAAUGGCUUACCAUGAAUGGAAAAAAUUGCAGGAAGUUUAUCUGAUUGCUCUGAGCAACCAGUUGUUUAAAGUGCAUCUGAUUUUGACCAGAUAAAGAAUCAUGAGGGCUACACUGCAGCAAAUAGCACAUAAGAGAUGUUUAGAGGUUUUAAACUAAAAACAUAAAACAAAGUGUCUCUAUUAGAAACAAAUGGUAUUAAUGGUGCAGAAAUUGUUCUUUGGUCCAUGGCAUUACAACAACAGAGUGCAUUCAUUUAAAAUCGAUUAAUCUGAAAACGAGUAUAAUGGAAUGACAGUAAAAAUAAAAUGCCUGCUUUGGGGGUUUUGCAGCAGGCAUUAGUGGGCAAGUGGGACAGAAGAGAUGGCCAGAGAUGACAGAGUGUUUUUUAAUGGAGCUCUUUUUGUGUCGAGGUGUCCCUGAUGAGAUCCCAGAAGCAGAAAUGGAGAACUGCAAGUUUAGACACCUUUCUGGCCCUGCUCCACUGGUACACUGUACACACUAAAGAAAAACAGAUAAAUAAAACAGUUUCUGUCAGACAUCUGAGUCUAAAACAAAUCCCGAAUACCUACAG
Ictalurus punctatus (channel catfish) is the source of this 2552-nucleotide long non-coding RNA. The record is from Ensembl. NCBI's taxonomy places the organism in Eukaryota, Metazoa, Chordata, Actinopteri, Siluriformes, Ictaluridae.